Molecule: ribosomal RNA, 301 nt
Filed under: uncultured bacterium
Lineage: Bacteria
Description: partial 16S ribosomal RNA
Rfam family: Bacterial small subunit ribosomal RNA
Source: RNAcentral
CAGUAGCCGCGGGAAUACGGAGGGUGCAAGCGUUAUCCGGAUUUAUUGGGUUUAAAGGGUCCGUAGGCGGAUCUGUAAGUCAGUGGUGAAAUCUCACAGCUUAACUGUGAAACUGCCAUUGAUACUGCAGGUCUUGAGUAAAUUUGAAGUGGCUGGAAUAAGUAGUGUAGCGGUGAAAUGCAUAGAUAUUACUUAGAACACCAAUUGCGAAGGCAGGUCACUAAGAUUUAACUGACGCUGAUGGACGAAAGCGUGGGGAGCGAACAGGAUUAGAGACCCCAGUAGUCCCUGUCUCUUAUAC